This 277-nucleotide ribosomal RNA is filed under the name uncultured bacterium. Its description in RNAcentral is "partial 16S ribosomal RNA". It matches the Rfam family "Bacterial small subunit ribosomal RNA", at positions 356 to 626 of the family's 1533-position model. The record is from RNAcentral.
AGGGAAUCUUCCACAAUGGACGCAAGUCUGAUGGAGCAACGCCGCGUGAGUGAAGAAGGUUUUCGGACCGUAAAGCUCUGUUGUUGGUGAAGAAGGAUAGAGGUAGUAACUGGCCUUUAUUUGACGGUAAUCAACCAGAAAGUCACGGCUAACUACGUGCCAGCAGCCGCGGUAAUCGUAGGUGGCAAGCGUUGUCCGGAUUUAUUGGGCGUAAAGCGAGCGCAGGCGGAAGAAUAAGUCUGAUGUGAAAGCCCUCGGCUUAACCGAGGAAUUGCAU